This 1029-nucleotide long non-coding RNA is filed under the name Fukomys damarensis (Damara mole-rat). RNAcentral's name for it is "lncRNA (ENSFDAG00000028264.1)". Lineage: Eukaryota; Metazoa; Chordata; Mammalia; Rodentia; Bathyergidae. The record is from RNAcentral.
GCAAAAUCAUUUGUUUAUCUGAAUUAAUGUCUUAGUGCAAGAUUACCUGUUAGCUAACAAAAAUAUUGCAUCCUUAAUUUCAUAUGUCUAGUGUUUCCUAGUAAGGCAUAAUUCAUAGAGCAUAAUUCAACCCUUUUCAAAUAAUGAUAAUUAUUCUUAGGACACAAGUUCCUUAUUUAGCAGGCAAAUGCUAGAAACACAAGCAACAUCCCCCCUAGUUAGUGAUGUCCUAAUUAUUCCUCCCUGUUUAAAGAACAUUUCACAGUCACCACACCUUCUUCUGGUGCUGUAUUUAAAUAAGUAAGGAUUGCCUGGCACAUAACCUUGAAAGGAAAGCUGAGUUGAGCUUCUGGAUGUGAUUAACUCAGCAUUUCUUAAAGGUGGACAUUCUUUUCCUUCUAUAUUCAAUCGCCUAAGAGUCAAACUUGAAGCAAUUUCAUACACUGAUGGAAAAGUCUCCUGUUCACCUUCUUGGCCUUGCUCUGGGAGGCAUCCCUUUAGGAAUUCACCAGCUAACCUCAAAAUUGAAGUUGGAUUUUACCCAAGAGGACAGGAUGACAAUGAAGUUGAACCCCCCGCCCUGUGGGCUGUAAUGGGUCAACAGCGUCCCUUUACCUACGCCCACUGUUGGUAUUGGGAAGACUUCUCCCAGUCCCAGGAAGAUCUGAUGAUUGUGGAAUCCAAUCCCUGUCCUUCCCCUUAGUCCUAGGGCUGUGGUUUUUCACGGUGCUGACCCCAGCAUGCCUAACACUGCUGGUUAGUUUUCCUUAACCCUGCCCGCAUCUUUGUAAAUAGUUUCUUUAUUAAACACUUCCUAAUUACUCUAUUAGUGUGAGCCAUCUGUUUCCUGCUGAGCCCCCAACUGAGACAUUUUCCAAUCAAAGAUGCAUUGCAGUGAAUACCAAAAGUGCCAGCAUGGAGCAUGAGAAGUGCCUUUUGGGGGCAUCAACCAAAUAGUGUAAGUUUAGUAGAAAGAUUAGCAAUGUGUCAAAAAUGAAGAAAGAAAUGAGGCUUUUGACCCAGUUGUUC